Molecule: transfer-messenger RNA, 391 nt
Filed under: Cyanobacteria bacterium CRU_2_1
Lineage: Bacteria; Bacillati; Cyanobacteriota
Also listed under: 1 other name
Rfam family: transfer-messenger RNA
About the family: Bacterial tmRNA, also known as 10Sa RNA or SsrA, is named for its dual tRNA and mRNA-like properties. Its role is to liberate the mRNA from a stalled ribosome.
Source: RNAcentral
GGGGCUGUCACGGUUUCGACGUUUUGGCGAACGCUACUUCGUGAUUCAGGUCGAGAGCGGGCUAACUCUCGCAAAUCAAUGGCUCAAAAAAAGUAGAUGCGAACAACAUCGUACCUUUUGCUCGUAAGCAAGCUGCUGUUGCAGUUGCCUAAAAACCUCUAACUGGUUCGAGCGUCUGUGAUUUGACUCCGUUAAGGAUUACAGACCAACCCCCAACGGACGCCCUAGUCCACCGCCUCUGGUCAGUGACUAGUUAAGACUUAACCAGAGCAUCCCAUCGCCUGGGAUAAAAGGUGAUUCCCGCUUCGAGGAUCAGAGAAGCUAAACCUGUGAAUGAACGAAGUAUUAAUACCCAGAGCGGACACGGGUUCGACUCCCGUCAGCUCCAUUA